Molecule: long non-coding RNA, 1114 nt
Organism: Canis lupus familiaris (dog)
Lineage: Eukaryota; Metazoa; Chordata; Mammalia; Carnivora; Canidae
Exons: 3
Source: RefSeq, a predicted model, not a curated record
UGGGUUCCUAGGGACAUGCUCCUUGGCAACGGUUGCUAGGCCGUGGAAUUACGUCACUUCCGGCGGGUGGGCCGGGGCAUUUCCGCGAGGCCCUCGGGCGCGCGCGCCGGGACCGAGCUCCCCGGCGGCAGUUCCCGGCUCACGUGCACAGUGCGUUCGCGGGUCCGGAGCCUCAGCGAGGGCUGGAGGCCGCUGUACUUAAAUGUCAGCUGGCAAGGAAAAUCCGAAAGGAAAAAAAUGAAAUUCCUCUUGCCCUGGAAACUUAGUUGCCUGUUCAAACAUCUUGGAAGAAACCAACUACAGAUUUAGCAUCAGUCUUAGAGCAAAAUAAAACAAAACAAACAAACAAAAGCAAAUUCCGUUUUAGGCAUCUCCUGUUUGCCUUGCCCUGUACUGGCUGCUGGGGAUGCAAAUGAAGCCAGGAAUUACUGGGCUCCUGUUCUUAAGGAACAGAGUCCAGUGCUGAUAAAGAGACGAUUGAAAGGCAACUCCAAUACAACUAUCAUAAAAAGGCCCAGUGAUGGGGGAGCCCAGAUGAAGUAUCCCGAGUUUAUUUGAGACUGAAGGGACUGUACUAUCAGGAAAGUUUCCAUCAAAGUGAUGUUUAAGGAUCAGUAAAAAAAAUUAGCCAAAGGGCAGAGGGAUCAGUAAAAAUUAGCCAAAUGGGCAGAGGGAACAGAACAUCACAAGAUUAAUCCAUUGCUGGCUGCCUUCUGACUAUUGAACCAUUAAGCAGAGGCAUCCUGGGGGGCUCUUGGAGGAAACAGAAGACCCAUCCCAGCCCACAGAUGCUCAUGAUGAGUUGAAGGCGGCAACACUUAAAAACUUUGAAAAGUUCCUCCAGUUGUGACAACCAAAACAUGUCUCCAGACACUGCAAAAUGUCCCCCCGGGGGAGAGGGCAGGGAUGACAAAACUGUUCCUGGUUGAGAAUCACUAAUUCAACAGAUGAGGAAGUAGAGACUCAAGCAUCUUAACCAACCCAAGGGUCUGUGAAAGACAUUGCAAAACAUACAAAUAAAGCAGCCAUCAAAAACAGGGAUUCUGGGAUGCCUGGGUGGCUCAGCAGUUGGGUGUCUGCCUUCAGCUCAGGGUGUGAUCCUGGAGUCCCUGAG